GAAAUCAUCUGUGAUCUAUAAAAUGUCAAGUUAGCGCCAACAUGUUAUGGCAGCUCCUUGAUUGCAUGAAAUCAUCUGUGAUCUAUAAAAUGUCAAGUUAGCGCCAACAUGUAAUGGCUGCUCCUUGUACCAAGAUCCAAACAUUGUAGUAGGUGGGUACAAAUACAAACCCUACAGAUGAUGGGAGGUAAAUUUGUUCGCGUCCGUGUAAUGGUAAUCAUUUAUUAGAGAUUCUUUCAUAUUACUUUGAAUGUUUUACAAUUGCACUUUUAAGAAAGUAAUUUAUAUUCUCAUUUCAAUAAUUAAAUAUCUUUACCACUACACACGUGCCUCCUGGGUAAUGCUAAAUGAACAAUUAAAUUGCCUGUGUAUAUAAAGUUGCAGGUAUAUUAUCAAGAAUACUGGUAAGAAUGAAAAACACAGCUACUGUCCAUCUUGUCAAUGUUUGAGAUGUUUGAGUUCAGAUGUGAGUAAUUUUGAUUCUACUAUGAACCAACAUUUAUCAAUAGUCCAGUCUUUUGAGAAACCUUCCAGAGGUCUGUGUGUUGUUUGUUAACAAGAGGAAAAUGCUUGUAAAAAUGGAAACAAAGAGGCAGAAGACAAAGACCAAACUUUUAAAAAUGUCAUAAAAGUGAUAGAAGAGCAGAAGAAAGCUUUAGUUGCUGCUAAAAAGUCUGUGUUAAAAGAUAAUUAUACUCGUGUAUCAACGUUAAGAACUACCAAUUUAAACGGAUUUGUCAAUAAAUGCUGAAUAUUGUUAGAUUUAUUAUUUAUUAAAUUUGAUAUUGUUUUACUA
Long non-coding RNA from Homalodisca vitripennis (glassy-winged sharpshooter), 796 nucleotides. RefSeq lists it as uncharacterized. The transcript is spliced from 2 exons. The record is from RefSeq and is a predicted model, not a curated record. NCBI's taxonomy places the organism in Eukaryota, Metazoa, Arthropoda, Insecta, Hemiptera, Cicadellidae.